GACGAACGCUGGCGGCGUGCUUAACACAUGCAAGUCGAACGGAAAGGCCCCUUUUGGGGUCCUCGAGUGGCGAACGGGUGGGUAACACGUGAGUAAGCUGCCCUUGACUUCGGGAGAAAUUCAGGAAACUGGGGCUAAUACCGGAUAGGAAUGCUUGCUGCAUGGUGGGGGUUGGAAAGCUUCGGGGGGUUGGGAUGGACUUGCGGCUUAUCUGCUUGUUGGUGGGGUAGUGGGUUACCAAGGCUUUGACGGGUAGGCGGCCUGGGGGGGCGACCGGCCACAGUGGGACCGAGAUACGGCCCAGACUCCUACGGGGGGCAGGCGGGGGGAAUUAUGCACAAUGGGCGGAAGGCUGGUGCAGCAACGCCGCGUGCGGGAUGACGGCCUUCGGGGUGGAAACCGCGUUCAGCAGGGGCGAAGCUUGUGGUGACGGUACCUGCAGAAGAAGCACCGGCUAACUACGUG
This 465-nucleotide ribosomal RNA is filed under the name uncultured bacterium. RNAcentral describes it as "partial 16S ribosomal RNA". It matches the Rfam family "Bacterial small subunit ribosomal RNA", at positions 28 to 507 of the family's 1533-position model. The record is from RNAcentral.